AGUGAACGCUGGCGGUAGGCCUAAUACAUGCAAGUCGAACGGCAGCACAGUAAGAGCUUGCUCUUACGGGUGGCGAGUGGCGGACGGGUGAGGAAUACAUCGGAAUCUACUUUGUCGGGGGGGAUAACGGAGGGAAACUUCUGCUAAUACCGAAUACGACCUACGGGUGAAAGCAGGGGAUCUUGGGACCUUGCGCGAUUGAAUGAGACGAUGUCGGAUUAGCUAGUUGGCGGGGUAAAGGCCCACCAAGGCGACGAUCCGUAGCUGGUCUGAGAGGAUGAUCAGCCACACUGGAACUGAGACACGGUCCAGACUCCUACGGGAGGCAGCAGUGGGGAAUAUUGGGCAAUGGGCGCAAGCCUGAUCCAGCCAUACCGCGUGAGUGAAGAAGGCCUUCGGGUUGUAAAGCCCUUUUGUUGGGAAAGAAAAGCAGCAGGUUAAUACCCCGCUGUUCUGACGGUACCCAAAGAAUAAGCACCGGCUAACUUCGUG
This 492-nucleotide ribosomal RNA is filed under the name uncultured bacterium. RNAcentral's name for it is "partial 16S ribosomal RNA". It matches the Rfam family "Bacterial small subunit ribosomal RNA", at positions 29 to 507 of the family's 1533-position model. The record is from RNAcentral.